This 292-nucleotide ribosomal RNA is filed under the name uncultured bacterium. RNAcentral describes it as "partial 16S ribosomal RNA". The record is from RNAcentral.
GGACUACACGGGUAUCUAAUCCUGUUCGCUCCCCUAGCUUUCGCGCCUGAGCGUCAGGACAGGCCCAGAGAUCCGCCUUCGCCACCGGUGUUCCUCCCGAUAUCUGCGCAUUUCACCGCUACACCGGGAAUUCCGAUCUCCCCUACCUGCCUCUAGCCCGACAGUUUCGAAUGCAGUUCCACGGUUGAGCCGUGAGAUUUCACAUCCGACUUACCGGGCCGCCUACGCGCGCUUUACGCCCAAUGAAUCCGGACAACGCUCGCCCCCUACGUCUUACCGCGGCUGCUGGCAC